GGAUGAGCCCGCGGCCUAUCAGGUUGUUGGUGGGGUAAUGGCCUACCAAGCCUAUAACGGGUAACUGGUCUGAGAGGAUGGCCAGUCAGACUGGGACUGAGACACGGCCCAGACUCCUACGGGAGGCAGCAACUAGGAAUUAUGCGCAAUGGACGAAAGUCUGACGCUGCGACGUCGCGUGGAGGAUGAAGAUUCUAGGAUUGUAAACUCCUUUUAUUGGGGAACAAGUUCUGAGUGUACCCAAUGAAUAAGUGCCUGCUAACCACGUGCCAGAAGCAUCGGUAAUACGUGGGGCACAAGCGUUAUCCGGAUUUACUGGGCGUAAAGAGAUGCGUAGGUGUCCAAAUAAGUUCCAUGUAAAAUCUUCAUGCUCACCAUGAAAACUGCGUGGAAAACUAUUCGGAUUGAGUCAGAUAGAGGAAAGGGGAAUUCCUGGUGGAGCGGUUAAAUGCGUUGAUAUCAGGAGGAACACCAAUGGCGAAGGCACCUUUCUGGAUCUGUACUGACACUAAGGCUCGAAAGCGUGGGGAGCAAAACGGAUUAGAUACCCGUGUAGUCCACGCCGUAAACGAUCCUCGUUAGAUUUUUGUCUAAGCUCUGUUAAUUUUUCCUUCGGGAAAGGUUUAGGGCCUGAUGGGAGUCGCAGCUAACGCGGUAAACGAGGCGCCUGGGAAGUACGGCCGCAAGGCUAAAACCCAAAGGAAUUGACGGGGACCCGCACAAGCAGUGGAGCGCCUGGUUUAAUUCGAUGAU
RNAcentral lists this ribosomal RNA (753 nucleotides) under uncultured actinomycete. RNAcentral describes it as "bacterial SSU rRNA". It matches the Rfam family "Bacterial small subunit ribosomal RNA", at positions 223 to 958 of the family's 1533-position model. The record is from RNAcentral. Lineage: Bacteria; Bacillati; Actinomycetota; Actinomycetes; Actinomycetales.